Fundulus heteroclitus (mummichog) is the source of this 1162-nucleotide long non-coding RNA. RefSeq lists it as uncharacterized. The transcript is spliced from 5 exons. The record is from RefSeq and is a predicted model, not a curated record. NCBI's taxonomy places the organism in Eukaryota, Metazoa, Chordata, Actinopteri, Cyprinodontiformes, Fundulidae.
GUGAGAAAGAGAAGGACCUCGCUGCAGCCUUGCGGAAAGGGGCGGGGACGGACCACUGUCAGUCCCAUACCUUAUAUGGAAAUGGGAUUAUUGCACUCCGGAAAUGAAGGGGGCGCUAUUUUCAUUAUCACUAGUACCUUAAAGAAGCGGAGUUGAGAAGUCGAUUAAAAGAAGUAGAGGUUCUUCCACUGAUGUUCGGCACACGAUCCAUAAUGCAAAACCUACGAAGUCAGCAAAAGAUCCACGCAUCUAUCUAUUUGCAACAUAUUGAUGUCCCCCUUGCUCAUACAAUGCCGAUGAGUCGCACAAGGUACAGAACCAUAUAGCAAAAGCUGCUAUGGCUCAACAUAACGGUGCAAAGGAUAUCGCCAAUCUUACAGAUGCCUUUGAAUGGACUUGAAGCUGUUCUCCAGGAGGUGGUACUAGCACAGGGAGACACAGCUUACCUCACCCUGGCAUGCCAAGACACACCUUGGCAUCGACCUUCAAGUGCUUUGAAGCCAUUGUGUCUGACCCAGUUUCCGGGAAGAAGACUCACUUUGCUUGGCUGGAUGGUGAGAUCCACUGGGAUAAAUUUUAAGAGUCAUUCAAAGCAGAAAAUCGGAUUCCUUUUGGGGUCGAAACGUGUUCUUCCUGCAACCGGCCAUAUAAAGACUGUGUGGGCUUCACCAGAAAUGGAAGACGAGGGGAGUACCCUCGUUACUACUGUGAUGCCAUACCCGGACGCUGCCCUGAAAGUCAAUAAUGAAUGAAUCAGUUGUUUUCCAUAUUUCUGUUGUCACACAUUGUUCGUUUUUUUUUUUUGUGUGUGUGACAUGCCAUUUUAAAACAUUUCUGAUGAAGCACAUUUGCCUUUUAACUUGUGCGGUCAUUCGUUUUGAGUUAUUUCAAUAUUAUGUAAAUUUUUGAAUGUUCUUUUUGUUGUAGCUCAUUCAUUCAUUUAGUUUUCAUAGAAAUAUUGUCGGUUCCAGAAAAAGUUACAUUGUGGCUGUAAGAUGUUCUAAAGAGAGUAGAACCAAUAAAGUUAUUGUAACUAUACUGUAACAGCAUUGUUUAACAUUUUGAUAAUCUUGUUUUAAAAAUUUGACAUACAAUCAAAGUUAAUAACUUGCAAUAUUUUAUAUGUUUAAAUAAAAUGUUUCCUAAAAUCUUUGAAAAAUGA